This 30-nucleotide non-coding RNA is filed under the name Mus musculus (house mouse). Lineage: Eukaryota; Metazoa; Chordata; Mammalia; Rodentia; Muridae. The record is from RNAcentral.
UCAGCUGGUGACCUCAUUUCUAUUCAGUCU